Molecule: ribosomal RNA, 891 nt
Filed under: Enterobacter sp.
Lineage: Bacteria; Pseudomonadati; Pseudomonadota; Gammaproteobacteria; Enterobacterales; Enterobacteriaceae
Description: bacterial SSU rRNA
Rfam family: Bacterial small subunit ribosomal RNA
Source: RNAcentral
AGUCGAGCGGCAGCGGAGGUGCUUUGCUACUUUGCCGGAGAGCGGCGGACGGGUGAGAAGUGUCUGGGAAACUGCCUGAUGGAGGGGGAUAACCACUGGAAACGGUAUCUUAUCCCGCAUAACCUCACAAGACCAAAGAGGGGGACCUUCGGGCCUCUUGCCAUCAGAUGUGCCCAUAUGGUAUUAUCUAGUGGGGGGGGUAACGGCUCACCUAGGAGACUAUCCCUAGGUGGUCUGAGAGGAUGACCACCCACUCUGGAACUGACACACGGCCCACACUCCUACGGGAGGCAGCAGUGGGGAAUAUUGCACAGUGGGCGCAAGCCUGAUGCACCCGUGCCGCGUGUAUGAAAAACGCCUUCGGGUUGAAAAGUACUUUCAGCGGAGAAGAAGGUGUUGAGGUUAAUAACCUCAGCAAUUGACGUUACCCGCAGAAGAAGCCCCGUCUAUCUCCGUGCCAGCACCCGCGGUAAUACAGAGGGUGCAAGCGUUAAUCAGAAUUACUGGGCGUAAAGCGCACGCGGGCGGUCUGUCAAGUCAGAUGUGAACUCCGCGGUCUCAAUCUGGGAACUGCUUUCAACACUGGCAGGCUAGAGUCGUGUAGAGGGGGGAUAGUAUUCCAGGUGUAGCGGAGAUAUGCAUAGAGAUCUGGAAGAAUACCGGUGGAGAGCGCGCCCCCUGUGGACAAAGACUGACUCUCAUGUGCGAAAGCGUGGGAGAGCAAACAAGAAUUAUAUACCCUGGGUACUCCACCCCCAUAAAACUAUGUCGACUUAGGGGGUUGUGCCCUUAGAGGCGUGUCUUCCGAGAAGCUAACGCGUAACUACGACCCGUCUGGGAGUAGCUACGGCCCGCGAGGUUAACUACUCAUAUGAAUUGGACGGGGGCCCC